This is a long non-coding RNA of Alosa sapidissima (American shad), 909 nucleotides long. RefSeq lists it as uncharacterized. The transcript has 3 exons. Lineage: Eukaryota; Metazoa; Chordata; Actinopteri; Clupeiformes; Clupeidae. The record is from RefSeq and is a predicted model, not a curated record.
CAUUAGAGCGUCUGAUAGAGAUAGCCUCACGUGCGCAUGUCCGAGAACCUAGCGGCAGCUCGGCUUAACACAACGCGGCGUGGAUCUAACUGUUAUUUGAGGCCAAUUGCUUUGUAGUCUUUUGUGAAGUAUGAGUCAAACUAAUUCCUAAACUCGUGUCUCCUCUCCACUCUUUGCGUGCUCAUGUCUACCCCCCUUCGCUCUGUUGCUACGUUGAGGCCCUGCCCUUUCUGUGUGAUUCCGCCGACCGGCUUCCUGUGUUUGCGCGACUCUAAGCUCGAUCUGGCGGAGAGAGAAUCGGGACCCAAGGCUAGGCUAGCCUGCCACCUCAACAUGGAGUAGUUUUGUCUCCUCGACAACAAAAGUAGAGCAUUGCCGUGAAUUAUCAUCGGCACUUUUUACACUGCUGAGGGAGCGGCCGCAAAUGUGGAGAUACGGCUUCGAGGAUACCCUGUCACUGUAACGGAAGGAUAGACAUUGCGAUUUUUAUUUAUUAUUAAAAAGAUGGCGAACGACUCCCCGGCUAAAAGUCUGGUAGACAUAGAUCUCUCCUCAUUGCGGGAUCCUGCCGGGAUUUUUGAAUUGGUGGAAGUGGUAGGAAAUGGAACCUAUGGACAAGUAUACAAGGUCGAGAGGGUUGGGUUGGGUCCCCUGGAGGCCAUCUGAUGUAUGACAGUUAUCUGCCCCCACCCCCUCGCCAGCAGCAGUCGUUUGCAUUUGGGCUGUUUACUUUUGAAUCACUUCCUGCACACAUGCUCUGUUGGUUAGGCGCCGAGCUGAACCCUCCUGCGCUGUGGUUUACCCUCCCUGCGCCCGUGACAACGCACGAGGGUGUUAAGGAUUUAAUGAUUUACUUGUAAAUUGCACUGCAUUUUGUUGUCUUACUGCAUUUCGUUGUCUGUACUUGUA